Molecule: microRNA precursor, 126 nt
Organism: Brassica oleracea var. oleracea
Lineage: Eukaryota; Viridiplantae; Streptophyta; Magnoliopsida; Brassicales; Brassicaceae
Rfam family: MIR9563 microRNA precursor family
Source: Rfam
AGAAUAUAAAAACUCGUCUUUUAACUUUUAACUAAAAAAAAUUAAGAACCAGUUUUUAAAUAUUUUAUUUAAGAACCGGUUCUUAGCUUUUCUAGUUAAAAGUUAAGAGACGAGUUCUUAUAAUCU